This 403-nucleotide ribosomal RNA is filed under the name uncultured bacterium. RNAcentral's name for it is "partial 16S ribosomal RNA". It matches the Rfam family "Bacterial small subunit ribosomal RNA", at positions 28 to 526 of the family's 1533-position model. The record is from RNAcentral.
GACGAACGCUGGCGGCGUGCCUAAUACAUGCAAGUCGAACGCAGUGGGGACGGGUGAGUAACACGUGGGUAACCUCCCAUCAGAGGGGAUAACACUUGGAAACAGGUGCUAAACCGAUACUGAUGGAUGGACCUGCGUUGUAUUAGCGAGUAGGUAGGGGAAUGGCCUACCUAGGCGACGAUACAUAGCCGACCUGGGAGGGUGAUCGGCCACACUGGGACUGAGCAACGGUCCAGACUCCUACGGGAGGCAGCAGUGGGGAAUAUUGCACAAUGGGCGCAAGCCUGAUGCAGCCAUGCCGCGUGUAUGAAGAAGGCCUUCGGGUUGUAAAGUACUUUCAGCGGGGAGGCGUUACCCGCAGAAGAAGCACCGGCUAACUCCGUGCCAGCAGCCGCGGUAAUUC